GGAUCAUGGAGAAGUCUGAUGGAGCACGCCGCGUGAGUGAAAAGGUUUUCGGAUCGUAAAGCUCUGUUGUUGGUGAAGAAGGAUAGAGGUAGUAACUGGCCUUUAUUUGACGGUAAUCAACCAGAAAGUCACGGCUAACUACGUGCCAGCAGCCGCGGUAAUACGUAAGUGGCAAGCGUUGUCCGGAUUUAUUGGGCGUAAAGCGAGCGCAGGCGGAAGAAUAAGUCUGAUGUGAAAGCCCUCGGCUUAACCGAGGAACUGCAUCGGAAACUGUUUUUCUUGAGUGCAAAACAGGAGAGUGGAACUCCAUGUGUAGCGGUGGAAUGCGUAGAUAUAUGGAAGAACACCAGUGGCGAAGGCGGCUCUCUGGUCUGCAACUGACGCUGAAGCUCGAAAGCAUGGGUAGCGAACAGGAUUAGAUACCCCCAUAGUCCA
This 435-nucleotide ribosomal RNA is filed under the name Lactobacillus crispatus. RNAcentral describes it as "bacterial SSU rRNA". It matches the Rfam family "Bacterial small subunit ribosomal RNA", at positions 366 to 797 of the family's 1533-position model. Lineage: Bacteria; Bacillati; Bacillota; Bacilli; Lactobacillales; Lactobacillaceae. The record is from RNAcentral.